Molecule: ribosomal RNA, 301 nt
Filed under: uncultured bacterium
Lineage: Bacteria
Description: partial 16S ribosomal RNA
Rfam family: Bacterial small subunit ribosomal RNA
Source: RNAcentral
CAGUAGCCACGGUAACACGAAGGGGGCUAGCGUUGUUCGGAUUUACUGGGCGUAAAGCGCACGUAGGCGGACAUUUAAGUCAGGGGUGAAAUCCCAGAGCUCAACUCUGGAACUGCCUUUGAUACUGGGUGUCUGGAGUAUGGAAGAGGUAAGUGGAAUUCCGAGUGUAGAGGUGAAAUUCGUAGAUAUUCGGAGGAACACCAGUGGCGAAGGCGGCUUACUGGUCCAUUACUGACGUUGAGGUGCGAAAGCGUGGGGAGCAAACAGGAUUAGAUACCCCUGUAGUCCCUGUCUCUUAUAC